GGUUGAUCCUGCCAGUAGUCAUAUGCUUGUCUCAAAGAUUAAGCCAUGCAUGUCUAAGUAUAAGCGAGAUUAUACAGCGAGACUGCGGAUGGCUCAUUAAAUCAGUUAUAGUUUAUUUGAUGGUUCCUACCUACUACUCGGAUAACCGUAGUAAUCCUAGAGCUAAUACGUGCAUGCGACCCCGACUAGGGGGGUGUCUUUGGGGCAACUUAAGGGCAUCCACUUACCCUUGGAAGGGGCGUAUUUAUUAGAUAAAAAACCGGCGCGGGGCAUUAACAAACCACGAA
This 287-nucleotide ribosomal RNA is filed under the name uncultured eukaryote. RNAcentral's name for it is "partial 18S ribosomal RNA". It matches the Rfam family "Eukaryotic small subunit ribosomal RNA", at positions 6 to 228 of the family's 1831-position model. The record is from RNAcentral.